RNAcentral lists this long non-coding RNA (1080 nucleotides) under Ananas comosus (pineapple). Its description in RNAcentral is "long non-coding RNA (ACOM_LNC008526)". Lineage: Eukaryota; Viridiplantae; Streptophyta; Magnoliopsida; Poales; Bromeliaceae. The record is from RNAcentral.
CAAAACUUAUUUCCGAACUCGACGGAUUUCAAAAAUCCAUAUCCAAAUUCAAAACUGACCAAUUUUCCGAAACCCAAAACCAAACCUAAACCAGAAGACUAGAAUUCAAACAAUUAUUUCUGUUUACCAUAUUUCAAAGUAUUUAUAUGAAACUUAAAAUUUUAAAAUAUAAAUUUGAAUAUAAUAUUAAAUAUUAAAUUUAAAAGUGAAAUUUAAAUUAGAGGAAUUUCAUAUUACUAUUUAAAGUUUAAAUUCAAUGAUUAUAUUGUCAAAUCAUUUGAAAUUUUUCUUAUAUGAAAUGCCAAAUUAUGAAAGGAAAGAUAGAGAGAGAAAAAGGAAACAAAGAAAAAAUAAAAAUUUUGAAAAUAUAGUAGAUAUAAAAUGACUAAAUUGCCCAUGUAUUAAAAGACAAAAAUAUUCUUUUUUGAAGUACCUGGUAAUCGGUACCUCUCCUAAAGUGACCUGCUAUUACAGGUCACAAUUUUAAAAAAACUAAAUCCGAGCCUUCGAAUACACGUGAAUGAACGGUAACAAAAAAAAAAAAGUAUAGAAGCAUUACUAUAUACACACACACACACACACACAUAUAUAUAUAUAUAUAUACACACACGCCACACACACACACACACACACAUAUAUAUAUAUAUAUAUAUAUAUAUAGAGUCCGGCUAUGGUGCUUGUAAAAGUACCAAGUAUUUGGUAGUUGUAAAUUUUUUACCGUUAGAUCUACGUCUUUGAUUAUUUUCACCCGUUAGAUUAUACUAUUCAACCAACCACCCACUCAACCCUAGGAGGCCUACAUCAUCUUAACCGCACAUCCCUUAAUCCAAGGGCUAAAAACUUACAAACACCAAUAACUUUAUACUUUUGAAAGUAUAGGAGCUCAAUUCUAUAUAUAUAUAUAUAUAUAUAUAUAUAGCUCAGCUAAAAUAUUAUUAGUAGUACAUACUAUCCACUUUAACACUCUUAGCCGGAUCAGUACUAUUUCACCAACUACUCACUCAAUUCUACGCAUACAAUAGUUACAAAGUGAAUAGUAUUAUAUUAUAUAUUAAUAUUAAUAGUAUACAGCACAACUCU